RNAcentral lists this ribosomal RNA (468 nucleotides) under uncultured bacterium. Its description in RNAcentral is "partial 16S ribosomal RNA". It matches the Rfam family "Bacterial small subunit ribosomal RNA", at positions 28 to 507 of the family's 1533-position model. The record is from RNAcentral.
GACGAACGCUGGCGGCGUGCUUAACACAUGCAAGUCGAACGGAAAGGCCCUGCUUUUGUGGGGUGCUCGAGUGGCGAACGGGUGAGUAACACGUGAGUAACCUGCCCUUGACUUUGGGAUAACUUCAGGAAACUGGGGCUACUACAGGAUAGGAGCUCCUGCUGCAGGGAGGGGGUUGGAAAGUUUCGGCGGUUGGGGAUGGACGAGCGGCUUAUCAGCUUGUUGGUGGGGGAGUGGCUGACCAAGCCUUUGACGGGUAGCCGGCCUGAGAGGGUGACCGGCCACAUUGGGACUGAGGUACGGCCCAGUCUCCUACGGUAGGCAGCAGUGGGGAAUAUUGCACAAUGGGCGGAAGCCUGUUGCAGCAACGCCGCGUGCGGGAUGACGGCCUUCGGGUUGUAAACCGCUUUCGCCUGUGACGAAGCGUGAGUGACGGUAAUGGGUAAAGAAGCACCGGCUAACUACGUG